This 758-nucleotide ribosomal RNA is filed under the name Botrylloides anceps. Its description in RNAcentral is "SSU rRNA". It matches the Rfam family "Eukaryotic small subunit ribosomal RNA", at positions 75 to 837 of the family's 1831-position model. Lineage: Eukaryota; Metazoa; Chordata; Ascidiacea; Stolidobranchia; Styelidae. The record is from RNAcentral.
CGUAAAGCGAAACUGCGAAUGGCUCAUUAAAUCAGUCUUGGUUUAUUUGGUCUCGAGAGCGAAGGUGGAUAACUGUGGCAAUUCCAGAGCUAAUACAUGCAAUAAGCGCCGACUUCGGGAGGCGUGCUUUUAUCAGAUCAAAACCGACCGGGUUCGCCCGUCUCUUUUGAUGACUCUGGAUAACCACGCGGAUCGCACGGCCUCGGUGCCGGCGACAUACCAUUCAAGUGUCUGACCUAUCAACUGUCGAAGGUAAGCUACGGGCUUACCUUUGUGAUAACGGGUGACGGGGAAUCAGGGUUCGAUUCCGGAGAGGGAGCCUGAGAAACGGCUACCACAUCCAAGGAAGGCAGCAGGCGCGCAAAUUACCCAUUCCCGACACGGGGAGGUAGUGACGAAAAAUAACAAUACAGGACUCUAACGAGGCCCUGUAAUUGGAAUGAGUACAUUCUAAAACUCUUAACGAGUAUCCAUUGGAGGGCAAGUCUGGUGCCAGCAGCCGCGGUAAUUCCAGCUCCAACAGUGUAUGCUAAAGUUGUUGCGGUUGAAAAGCUCGUAGUUGGAUGUUGGGCGGGCGCGGCCGGUCCGUCGCAGGGCGUGCACUGGUCGCGUUCGCCUCGCCGUUCGGUUCUCCGUCGGUGCUCUUGAUUGAGUGUCGGCGGUGGCCGAGAAGUUUACUUUGAAAAAAUUAGAGUGUUCAAAGCAGGCCGUUCGCCUGAAUAGUGUUGCAUGGAAUAAUGGAAUAGGACCUCGGUUCU